Molecule: ribosomal RNA, 253 nt
Filed under: uncultured bacterium
Lineage: Bacteria
Description: partial 16S ribosomal RNA
Rfam family: Bacterial small subunit ribosomal RNA
Source: RNAcentral
CACGUAGGGCGCAAGCGUUGUCCGGAAUUAUUGGGCGUAAAGAGCUCGUAGGCGGUCCGUCACGUCCGCUGUGAAAACCCAGGGCUCAACCCUGGGCUUGCAGUGGAUACGGGCAGACUAGAGGUAGGUAGGGGAGAAUGGAAUUCCCGGUGUAGCGGUGAAAUGCGCAGAUAUCGGGAGGAACACCGGUGGCGAAGGCGGUUCUCUGGGCCUUGACUGACGCUGAGGCGCGAAAGCGUGGGGAGCAAACAGG